UAGUCCCUACGGGACGCAGCAGUGGGGAAUAUUGCACAAUGGGGGAAACCCUGAUGCAGCGACGCCGCGUGAGUGAAGAAGUAUUUCGGUAUGUAAAGCUCUAUCAGCAGGGAAGAAGAAAGACGGUACCUGACUAAGGAGCCCCGGCUAACUACGUGCCAGCAGCCGCGGUAAUACGUAGGGGGCAAGCGUUAUCCGGAUUUACUGGGUGUAAAGGGAGCGCAGGCGGCACGGCAAGCCUGAUGUGAAAGCCCGCGGCCCAACCGCGGGACUGCAUUGGGAACUACCGGGCUGGAGUGCCGGAG
This 305-nucleotide ribosomal RNA is filed under the name uncultured bacterium. Its description in RNAcentral is "bacterial SSU rRNA". It matches the Rfam family "Bacterial small subunit ribosomal RNA", at positions 334 to 654 of the family's 1533-position model. The record is from RNAcentral.